AUGAACGCUGGCGGCGUGCCUCAUACAUGCAAGUCGAGCGAACAGACGAGGAGCUUGCUCCUCUGACGUUAGCGGCGGACGGGCGAGUAACACGUGGAUAACCUACCUAUAAGACUGGGAUAACUUCGGGAAACCGGAGCUAAUACCGGAUAAUAUAUUGAACCGCAUGGUUCAAUAGUGAAAGACGGUUUUGCUGUCACUUAUAGAUGGAUCCGCGCCGCAUUAGCUAGUUGGUAAGGUAACGGCUUACCAAGGCAACGAUGCGUAGCCGACCUGAGAGGGUGAUCGGCCACACUGGAACUGAGACACGGUCCAGACUCCUACGGGAGGCAGCAGUAGGGAAUCUUCCGCAAUGGGCGAAAGCCUGACGGAGCAACGCCGCGUGAGUGAUGAAGGUCUUCGGAUCGUAAAACUCUGUUAUUAGGGAAGAACAAAUGUGUAAGUAACUAUGCACGUCUUGACGGUACCUAAUCAGAAAGCCACGGCUAACUACGUG
Molecule: ribosomal RNA, 496 nt
Filed under: uncultured bacterium
Lineage: Bacteria
Description: partial 16S ribosomal RNA
Rfam family: Bacterial small subunit ribosomal RNA
Source: RNAcentral